AAAAAGGCUCUUUUUAGAGCCACCAAGUCUUCAUAAAAAGAGCUAG
Molecule: regulatory RNA element, 46 nt
Organism: Neotoma lepida (desert woodrat)
Lineage: Eukaryota; Metazoa; Chordata; Mammalia; Rodentia; Cricetidae
Rfam family: Histone 3' UTR stem-loop
About the family: The mRNAs of metazoan histone genes lack a poly-A tail. 3' end processing occurs at a site between a highly conserved stem-loop (modelled by this family) and a purine rich region around 20 nts downstream (the histone downstream element, or HDE).
Source: Rfam